RNAcentral lists this transfer RNA (61 nucleotides) under Paratomella rubra. RNAcentral's name for it is "tRNA-Leu". Lineage: Eukaryota; Metazoa; Xenacoelomorpha; Acoela; Paratomellidae. The record is from RNAcentral.
UAUAAUGUGGCAGAUAAAUGUGUAGUAUUUAAGUUAUUAUUAUGAUGAAUAUCCUUUAUAA